RNAcentral lists this ribosomal RNA (862 nucleotides) under uncultured bacterium. RNAcentral's name for it is "bacterial SSU rRNA". It matches the Rfam family "Bacterial small subunit ribosomal RNA", at positions 19 to 894 of the family's 1533-position model. The record is from RNAcentral.
CUGGCUCAGGACGAACGCUGGCGGCGCGCCUAACACAUGCAAGUCGAACGAGAGAUGAGGAGCUUGCUCUUCAAAUCGAGUGGCGAACGGGUGAGUAACGCGUGAGGAACCUGCCUCAAAGAGGGGGACAACAGUUGGAAACGACUGCUAAUACCGCAUAAGCCCACGGCUCGGCAUCGAGCAGAGGGAAAAGGAGCAAUCCGCUUUGAGAUGGCCUCGCGUCCGAUUAGCUGGUUGGUGAGGUAACGGCCCACCAAGGCGACGAUCGGUAGCCGGACUGAGAGGUUGAACGGCCACAUUGGGACUGAGACACGGCCCAGACUCCUACGGGAGGCAGCAGUGGGGAAUAUUGCACAAUGGGGGAAACCCUGAUGCAGCGACGCCGCGUGGAGGAAGAAGGUCUUCGGAUUGUAAACUCCUGUUGUUGAGGAAGAUAAUGACGGUACUCAACAAGGAAGUGACGGCUAACUACGUGCCAGCAGCCGCGGUAAAACGUAGGUCACAAGCGUUGUCCGGAAUUACUGGGUGUAAAGGGAGCGCAGGCGGGAGAACAAGUUGGAAGUGAAAUCCAUGGGCUCAACCCAUGAACUGCUUUCAAAACUGUUUUUCUUGAGUAGUGCAGAGGUAGGCGGAAUUCCCGGUGUAGCGAUGGAAUGCGUAGAUAUCGGGAGGAACACCAGUGGCGAAGGCGGCCUACUGGGCACCAACUGACGCUGAGGCUCGAAAGUGUGGGUAGCAAACAGGAUUAGAUACCCUGGUAGUCCACACCGUAAACGAUGAUUACUAGGUGUUGGAGGAUUGACCCCUUCAGUGCCGCAGUUAACAAAGGAAGUAAUCCACCUGGGGAGUACGACCGCAAGGU